UUGGCCAGUCAUAUCACAAUUGAAUUUUUUUCUUUGUUCUUUUUUUAUUUGUAGGCUAGAUUAUGUCCGUACGGUUCAUUGUGUGGUUUGGUCUGGUGGCUGUGGCUCAGAUGGUGUCAUGUCGUGAGAUGCGAUAUGCGGAUGAAGGUUGCGAUGAAGAAGCCCUGGGAAUGGAAAAUGGCAAAAUCCCCGACUCUGCUAUCAAAGCUAAUUACGAGUUUAGUGUAGCUCAUGGAGCUACCAAUGCCAGGCUUAAUCACAGGCCAGGGAACGGCAAAACAGGCGCGUGGUCAACUUUGUUCCUGGAACAAGGACAAUGGAUUCAGGUGGAUCUUGGUGACAUCACAAAGGUGACCAAGAUCGGAACUCAGGGCCGAGCAGAAUUGUAUGAGUGGGUGACUGAAUACAAGGUGUCUUAUAGCUAUGAUGGCGGAUAUUUUGAGUUUUACAAGAACGGUCAAUAUGGCUCUGACAGGGUAAGUUGAAACCAAAACAUUUAGCUAAAGUCAUACAGUAAUUCAAUUUUUCGUUUGUUUGUUUGUUUGUUUUCGUUUUAUCCUUUGGAGAUUGAACUUCCACUUAACUAAAGAAAAACAAAGUUUACGCUGGGCGAAGUUGUGCGUAAAGGCCGGCGGUUAUCCCGACUAACGACUAGGAGUAUUUUUUCUCCCCCAGUGGAUGGGAUGCUAGUCCUUCGAAGGGUUAUCCCACCCCACCACCCCAGCAUUAAAUUCACCGGUACCCAUUCAUACACCUGGGUGAAGAGAGGUAUUGUCUAAGAACACAACGCAGUUACCCCGCCCAGGGCACGAACCCCGAUCACUCGAUUCGAACUUCGGCGCCUUACAAUGAGGUUAACUCCACAAACGUUGUUUUAUUAGACAUUUAUAAGUUACUAUCAAUAUCAGAUAGUAGUGGUACAAUGGUGGACAAAAUGACACCUGUGUCAUUGCAUGAAUUAUCUGUGUUUUAAAAACGAAGUUUGAAAAAGCUCUGUUAUCCUUUCCAAAAUUUGUUUCUGCCCCCCUCCCCCCUCCCCCAUCCACUACAAUGUUGAAACUGUGGAGAGAUUGCGUGUACACGUGUCCAACAUUGUAGGUGGGGUGGGAGGAGAGGCUGAGCAAGUGUAGUUGAAUUCGCGCGUGACUGUUUGUUUGGCGCGUAUGAAAAAGCGCCACAAGUGCAAAUUUGUCCCAAGACUUUUGUCUAUGAUUGUAGAUACCCUCAGUAUUUCAUUGUUCAGUUCGAUUUCUUUGAGAUUGGUCACUGAUUGUGGUCGUCCGCGUUUGCUAAACACUCCUGUGACAUUUGCCAAUACGUACAUGUGCCUUUUGUUAUCACUUUAGGUCUUUCAAGGCAAUCGUGACCGGGACAGCCUUCAUAUCAACACACUGAAUCCACCAAUUUAUGCCCGCUACAUCCGAAUCCAACCGGUAUCGUAUCAUGGGUGGAUGUCACUAAGAAUGGAGUUGUAUGGGUGUCGUUCAGGUUUUCCCACCCCGCAACCCCCUGCUUGCCAGGAAGGAUUAGGUCUGGAAAAUUAUGCCAUUCCGGACUCCUCAAUAACUGCUUCAAGCAAUGUAGCUCCGGGUACAACUUUAUAUAUACCGGGCAAUGGAAGACUUAAUUUCAGGCUUAAAGCUGGACACUAUGGAGCUUGGGCAGCUGGUAAUCUACGAGACAACAGUUGGUUUCAGGUGAAUUUUGGGCGUUUCGUUAAAGUGACGAUAGUUUCCACUCAAGGAAGAGACGAUACUUACGAAUGGGUGAAAAAGUAUCGUCUGACGUACAGUUAUGACGGAAACUUUUUCCGUGACUACCUGGAAGACGGGUCUGUCAAGGUAAUUUUUCGUCAAUGUAGAACCUAAUUGUUUUUAAUUUGUGUGUUAUUGUUGUUUUUGAAGAGUACCUAAGGUAAUCUCUCAAAUUCGUUUUAGUUCACUCUUGGUCUUCAAAAUCACAGGAAGGUCAAGAAAUAGCCAAUGAUGUCACGAAUUAUAGUCACGUAAAGAGCCCAAACGGAUCUGCACGCAUUUUUGUACUCCAUUAAAGCAUCCACGCAACACCAAUGGUGUCUAACCCCCAAAGAACUAAGUACGAUGUCUAAAAACAGCUUGAGAAUGAUUACAGUGGGGAUGAGACCCACGUAACCUAUCUUAUCCUUCAUCCUCUAUUAGGUUGAGUUUGUUUCCAAGCGUUCUAUUGUGUCGUGUUAAUCAAUUACAACAUAUUUGUAAUCAA
Molecule: unclassified non-coding RNA, 2241 nt
Organism: Orbicella faveolata
Lineage: Eukaryota; Metazoa; Cnidaria; Anthozoa; Scleractinia; Merulinidae
Source: RefSeq, a predicted model, not a curated record